RNAcentral lists this ribosomal RNA (513 nucleotides) under uncultured Campylobacterota bacterium. Its description in RNAcentral is "bacterial SSU rRNA". It matches the Rfam family "Bacterial small subunit ribosomal RNA", at positions 185 to 718 of the family's 1533-position model. The record is from RNAcentral. Lineage: Bacteria; Pseudomonadati; Campylobacterota.
CUCACAAGAGGUAUCGGGAAAGUUUUUCGCUAUAGGAUGAGGCUGCGGCCUAUCAGCUAGUUGGGGAGGUAACGGCUCACCAAGGCUAUGACGGGUAGCUGGUCUGAGAGGAUGAUCAGCCACACUGGAACUGAGACACGGUCCAGACUCCUACGGGAGGCAGCAGUGGGGAAUUUUACACAAUGGGCGAAAGCCUGAUGUAGCAACGCCGCGUGGAGGAUGACGGAUUUAGGUCUGUAAACUCCUUUUAUAGGGGAAGAAAUUUGACGGUACCCUAUGAAUAAGCGCCGGCUAACUCCGUGCCAGCAGCCGCGGUAAUACGGGGGGCACAAGCGUUACUCGGAAUCACUGGGCGUAAAGGGAGCGUAGGCGUUCUAUUAAGUCUCGAGUGAAAUCCCGCAGCCUAACUGCGGAACUGCUCGGGAAACUGAUAGAAUAGAGUAUGGAAGAGGUAGGUGGAAUUUCCAGUGUAGGGGUAAAAUCCGUAGAUAUUGGAAGGAAUACCAGAAGCGA